RNAcentral lists this non-coding RNA (20 nucleotides) under Rattus norvegicus (Norway rat). The record is from RNAcentral. Lineage: Eukaryota; Metazoa; Chordata; Mammalia; Rodentia; Muridae.
CAGAUAAUGACGGUGCUUCU